RNAcentral lists this ribosomal RNA (346 nucleotides) under uncultured bacterium. RNAcentral's name for it is "partial 16S ribosomal RNA". It matches the Rfam family "Bacterial small subunit ribosomal RNA", at positions 338 to 681 of the family's 1533-position model. The record is from RNAcentral.
CCUACGGGAGGCAGCAGUGAGGAAUAGUGGUCAAUGGGCGCGAGCCUGAACCAGCCAAGUAGCGUGAAGGAUGACUGCCCUACGGGUUGUAAACUGCUGUUAUAAAGGAAUAAAGUGAGGCACGUGGGCAUUUUUGUAUGUACGUUAUGAAUAAGGAUCGGCUAACUCCGUGCCAGCAGCCGCGGUAAUACGGAGGAUCCGAGCGUUAUCCGGAUUUCUUGGGUUUAAAGGGAGCGUAGAUGGGUUGUUAAGUCAGUUGUGCUAGUUUGCGGCUCAACCGUAAAAUUGCAAUUGAUACUGGCAGUCUUGAGUACAGUUGCGGUAGUCGGAUUUCGUGGUGUAGCGG